GGAGACACUGAACCCAAGGGGAGGAGGGCAAGAAGAAAAGAAAACAAUUUGGUCUCUUCUGGGGAGAAGUUACACAGAGUGUCCUGAAAACAGAGACCUUUUAUCUAGUCAAGAUAGGAUUUGAGAGUGGAAAUAUGAAGCCUUUUAGGUGUGGCUCUGGUCCUGGAGCCAGUGGAGGGCUUCCUGGGGUGCUGCUGCUCAACUGAGACUGAGCCCAGGUGUGUGGAGCGGUCUCAUUGGCAGCCAGGUGUUGUAGGAGGGAAAGUGUGUCUUGGUGACAAGUUUCUGAAGAAGAGCUGCAGAGGAGGAGAUUGUCUACAUACUGUAUGAGAUGAGAGGAAGAUGGGUGAAAGAAGAGUAAAUCAUCCCCAAGGACCUAACCAGAACAGUGGGGACUGUCCCAAAAGCCCUGAGAGCUCUAUGUGUCAGAAGCAAGUGGCCAAGUCAAUCCCCAUUUCAAGGAGGAAAGAAUGAAGCCUCUUCCCAGAGGGCAGAGCAUCAAAGAAUUGACACCCAGAUGUUAGAACCACCACAGCAACGACCGCACAUUUGUGGGAGAUGCCUUGAUGUUACACAGAUAUCCCGUUUCAU
This 591-nucleotide long non-coding RNA is filed under the name Heterocephalus glaber (naked mole-rat). Its description in RNAcentral is "lncRNA (ENSHGLG00100041657.1)". The record is from RNAcentral. Lineage: Eukaryota; Metazoa; Chordata; Mammalia; Rodentia; Bathyergidae.